Molecule: ribosomal RNA, 427 nt
Filed under: Myrmeleon hyalinus
Lineage: Eukaryota; Metazoa; Arthropoda; Insecta; Neuroptera; Myrmeleontidae
Description: partial 16S ribosomal RNA
Rfam family: Archaeal large subunit ribosomal RNA
Source: RNAcentral
AAUUUUGAAGGGCCGCAGUAUUCUGACUGUGCAAAGGUAGCAUAAUCAUUUGCCUUUUAAUUAAAGGCUUGUAUGAAUGGUUGAACGAAAUACAAACUGUCUCACUCUAAAAAGUUUAAAAAUUUAGCUUUCAAGUCAAAAGGCUUGAAUAAUAUUAGAGGACGAGAAGACCCUAUAGAACUUUAUAAUAUUUUUUGUGAAUUUACAUAGUAAAAUAUUUUUUAUUUAUAAAUAUUAUUAUUUUGUUGGGGUGACAGGAAAAUAAGCAAAACUUUUUUGAAUUUUGAACAUUGAUUUAUGAAUAUUUGAUCCAUUAUUAGUGAUUAUUAGAAUAAGUUACCUUAGGGAUAACAGCGUAAUUUUGUUGGAGAGUUCAAAUCGAUAACAAAGUUUGCGACCUCGAUGUUGAAUUAAAGAAAUUUUAGAG